RNAcentral lists this ribosomal RNA (897 nucleotides) under Arthrobacter sp. F40. RNAcentral's name for it is "bacterial SSU rRNA". It matches the Rfam family "Bacterial small subunit ribosomal RNA", at positions 159 to 1066 of the family's 1533-position model. The record is from RNAcentral. Lineage: Bacteria; Bacillati; Actinomycetota; Actinomycetes; Micrococcales; Micrococcaceae.
GGGUCUAAUACUGGAUAUGACCUUCUGGCGCAUGCCAUGUUGGUGGAAAGCUUUAUUGCGGUUUUGGAUGGACUCGCGGCCUAUCAGCUUGUUGGUGGGGUAAUGGCCUACCAAGGCGACGACGGGUAGCCGGCCUGAGAGGGUGGACGGCCACACUGGGACUGAGACACGGCCCAAACUCCUACGGGAGGCAGCAGUGGGGAAUAUUGCACAAUGGGCGCAAGCCUGAUGCACCGACGCCGCGUGGGGGAUGAAGGCCUUCGGGUUGUAAACCUCUUUCAGUAGGGAAGAAGCGAAAGUGACGGUACCUGCAGAAGAAGCGCCGGCUAACUACGUGCCAGCAGCCGCGGUAAUACGUAGGGCGCAAGCGUUAUCCGGAAUUAUUGGGCGUAAAGAGCUCGUAGGCGGUUUGUCGCGUCUGCCGUGAAAGUCCGGGGCUUAACCCCGGAUCUGCGGUGGGUACGGGCAGACUAGAGUGAUGUAGGGGAGACUGGAAUUCCUGGUGUAGCGGUGAAAUGCGCAGAUAUCAGGAGGAACACCGAUGGCGAAGGCAGGUCUCUGGGCAUUAACUGACGCUGAGGAGCGAAAGCAUGGGGAGCGAACAGGAUUAGAUACCCUGGUAGUCCAUGCCGUAAACGUUGGGCACUAGGUGUGGGGGACAUUCCACGUUUUCCGCGCCGUAGCUAACGCAUUAAGUGCCCCGCCUGGGGAGUACGGCCGCAAGGCUAAAACUCAAAGGAAUUGACGGGGGCCCGCACAAGCGGCGGAGCAUGCGGAUUAAUCCGAUGCAACGCGAAGAACCUUACCAAGGCUUGACAUGAACUGGAACAGCGCAGAGAUGUGUUGGCCGCUUGCGGCCGGUUUACAAGUGGUGCAUGGUUGUCGUCAGCUCGUGUC